AUGAGAAAAGGACCCAGCACAGGAGGAGAAAGAGGAGGAAACGGCAGUUUCUCAGGUCCCCUUUUUGGAGUAAAAGAAGAAUCCCUGAGAUGUGAAGGGAAUGGAGACAGUAGCUGUAUAACCAGGUACGUGCAAAUGAAUGAAGCAGAUGACACAGGUGAGAGGUCCAAAGAUCACAGAGGAAGUCAUAUCUUAUAUUAUGGCUUGGGAAGACAUGCUUCAAUGGAAAUGAUUUUUGCAAACCCUAGAUUUAUUUCUGUUGCUGUCAUAGAGGGACAUCUCCUGCUCCCAUCUUAGGCUCUUAAAUCCUCCGUGUAUUCUUCUUCAGCCCCAGUGAUUAUCCUUCACAUUCACAGUGAGAGCCAAAAUCCUCCUCUUGGCCUGUGAUGACCCUCAUGACCUGACUGCUCUUCUGUUGCUUUGGAGGUUCUAGGGAAAACUGUUUACAUUUCUGAGUAACUCUAUGUUAAGUUCUGUUUCUGCCUCAAGUCAGAAAUGUGUGAGGAGAGUCAUGGAGAUAUUGGGAUUAGGUGACAAAAUUCUUGGAAUACCCAAUCCAGUGGAAACUUCAAACAUGACCCUACAAAGUUCAGACUCAGUAAUUUCAUCAGAGCAUCAAGCAUCUCCCCAGAAUUAUAGAAUGUAAUCCUCCAUUUUACUUCCAAUGAACUAACAUGAGACAUUUUUACUUUCUAUGAACUAAGGUGAGACAUUUUAAGUGUACUUGCCCAAUCCAUCAAUGGUAGAAUAACUUAAUAUGUUUAUUUAUCUCAUAGAAGUCUUGAAUAUGUUCAU
RNAcentral lists this long non-coding RNA (795 nucleotides) under Delphinapterus leucas (beluga whale). RNAcentral's name for it is "lncRNA (ENSDLEG00000005764.1)". The record is from RNAcentral. Lineage: Eukaryota; Metazoa; Chordata; Mammalia; Artiodactyla; Monodontidae.